AAAGUUGCAGCUCUCCAGGCCUGACCACAUCGUUUGCAUAAGCGCUGUGCCUGAAAAAUAAUGGAUCUUCUCAGCAACACACUUAAAGAUUGUCAAUCCCUGCUGAUUCUGAACUGACAAUCAAACGACCAGUCAAAUGAAGAACUGUGUCUAAAAUCAGAGACACCUUAGAGCCAACGCUGAGUCCUCUACGGUCAGCUUGUUAGUAACGUAGCAGAAAACUUAAAGCAUCAUAAUACAAUGAUUUUAUUUAUUUA
Molecule: long non-coding RNA, 257 nt
Organism: Corapipo altera (White-ruffed manakin)
Lineage: Eukaryota; Metazoa; Chordata; Aves; Passeriformes; Pipridae
Exons: 2
Source: RefSeq, a predicted model, not a curated record